GAUGAACGCUGGCGGCGUGCCUAAUACAUGCAAGUCGAGCGAACGGACGAGAAGCUUGCUUUUCUGAUGUUAGCGGCGGACGGGUGAGUAACACGUGGAUAACCUACCUAUAAGACUGGGAUAACUUCGGGAAACCUGAGCUAAUACCGGAUAAUCUUUUGAACCGCAUGGUUCAAAAGUGAAAGACGGUCUUGCUGUCACUUAUAGAUGGAUCCGCGCUGCAUUAGCUAGAUGGUAAGGUAACGGCUUACCAAGGCAACGAUGCAUAGCCGACCUGAGAGGGUGAUCGGCCACACUGGAAGUGAGACACGGUGCAGACUCCUACGGGAGGCAGCAGUCGGGAAUCUUCCGCAAUGGGCGAGAGCCUGACGGAGCAACGCCGCGUGAGUGAUGAAGGUCUUCGGAUCGUAAAACUCUGUUAUUAGGGAAGAACAUAUGUGUAAGUAACUGUGCACAUCUUGACGGUACCUAAUCAGAAAGCCACGGCUAACUACGUG
Molecule: ribosomal RNA, 497 nt
Filed under: uncultured bacterium
Lineage: Bacteria
Description: partial 16S ribosomal RNA
Rfam family: Bacterial small subunit ribosomal RNA
Source: RNAcentral